UACGUAGGAGGCAAGCGUUGUCCGGAAUUAUUGGGCGUAAAGAGCGUGUAGGCGGUCCGGUAAGUCAGCUGUGAAAGUCAAGGGCUCAACCCUUGAAAGCCGGUUGAUACUGUCGGGCUAGAGUCCGGAAGAGGCGAGUGGAAUUCCCGGUGUAGCGGUGAAAUGCGCAGAUAUCAGGAAGAACACCCGUGGCGAAAGCGGCUCUCUGGAACGGUACUGACGCUGAGACGCGAAAGCGUGGGGAGCGAACAGG
This 253-nucleotide ribosomal RNA is filed under the name uncultured bacterium. Its description in RNAcentral is "partial 16S ribosomal RNA". It matches the Rfam family "Bacterial small subunit ribosomal RNA", at positions 524 to 776 of the family's 1533-position model. The record is from RNAcentral.